GAUGGAAGAACGCAGCGAAAUGCGAUAAGUAAUGUGAAUUGCAGAAUUCAGUGAAUCAUCGAAUCUUUGAACGCACAUUGCGCCCGUCAGUAUUCUGGCGGGCAUGCCUGUUCGAGCGUCAUUACGCCCCUCAAGUCCCCUGUGGACUUGGUGUUGGGGAUCGGCGAGGCUGGUUUUCCAGCACAGCCGUCCCUUAAAUUAAUUGGCGGUCUCGCCGUGGCCCUCCUCUGCGCAGUAGUAAAACACUCGCAACAGGAGCCCGGCGCGGUCCACUGCCGUAAAACCCCCCAACUUUUUAUAGUUGACCUCGAAUCAGGUAGGACUACCCGCUGAACUUAAGCAUAUCAAUAAGCGGAGGA
Molecule: unclassified non-coding RNA, 359 nt
Filed under: soil metagenome
Description: partial contains 5.8S ribosomal RNA, internal transcribed spacer 2, and large subunit ribosomal RNA
Rfam family: 5.8S ribosomal RNA (bases 5-121)
Source: RNAcentral